RNAcentral lists this ribosomal RNA (509 nucleotides) under uncultured bacterium. RNAcentral's name for it is "partial 16S ribosomal RNA". It matches the Rfam family "Bacterial small subunit ribosomal RNA", at positions 28 to 506 of the family's 1533-position model. The record is from RNAcentral.
GACGAACGCUGGCGGCGUGCUUAACACAUGCAAGUCGAACGAAGAGCGAUGGAAGCUUGCUUCUAUCAAUCUUAGUGGCGAACGGGUGAGUAACGCGUAAUCAACCUGCCCUUCAGAGGGGGACAACAGUUGGAAACGACUGCUAAUACCGCAUACGAUCUAAUCUCGGCAUCGAGGAUAGAUGAAAGGUGGCCUCUACAUGUAAGCUAUCACUGAAGGAGGGGAUUGCGUCUGAUUAGCUAGUUGGAGGGGUAACGGCCCACCAAGGCGAUGAUCAGUAGCCGGUCUGAGAGGAUGAACGGCCACAUUGGGACUGAGACACGGCCCAGACUCCUACGGGAGGCAGCAGCGGGGAAUCUUCCGCAAUGGACGAAAGUCUGACGGAGCAACGCCGCGUGAGUGAUGACGGCCUUCGGGUUGUAAAGCUCUGUUAAUCGGGACGAAAGGCCUUCUUGCGAAUAGUGAGAAGGAUUGACGGUACCGGAAUAGAAAGCCACGGCUAACUACGU